Molecule: ribosomal RNA, 468 nt
Filed under: uncultured bacterium
Lineage: Bacteria
Description: partial 16S ribosomal RNA
Rfam family: Bacterial small subunit ribosomal RNA
Source: RNAcentral
GACGAACGCUGGCGGCGUGCUUAACACAUGCAAGUCGAACGGAAAGGCCCUGCUUUUGUGGGGUGCUCGAGUGGCGAACGGGUGAGUAACACGUGAGUAACCUGCCCUUGACUUUGGGAUAACUUCAGGAAACUGGGGCUAAUACCGGAUAGGAGCUCCUGCUGCAUGGUGGGGGUUGGAAAGUUUCGGCGGUUGGGGAUGGACUCGCGGCUUAUCAGCUUGUUGGUGGGGUAGUGGCUUACCAAGGCUUUGACGGGUAGCCGGCCUGAGAGGGUGACCGGCCACAUUGGGACUGAGAUACGGCCCAGACUCCUACGGGAGGCAGCAGUGGGGAAUAUUGCACAAUGGGCGGAAGCCUGAUGCAGCAACGCCGCGUGCGGGAUGACGGCCUUCGGGUUGUAACCCGCUUUCGCCUGUGACGAAGCGUGAGUGACGGUAAUGAGUAAAGAAGCACCGGCUAACUACGUG